AGAGUUUGAUCCUGGCUCAGAACGAACGCUGGCGGCGUGCUUAACACAUGCAAGUCGAACGCGAACGAGUUCUUCGGAACUUUAGUAGAGUGGCGCACGGGUGAGUAACGCGUAAGUAAUCUACCCUCGCAUCUGGGAUAACCCACCGAAAGGUGUGCUAAUACCGGAUACGUCUAAGUUAAUAUCUUUUUUUUAGAGAAAGGUGGCCUCUGAUUCAAGCUACUGUGCGGGGAGGAGCUUGCGUACCAUUAGCUAGUUGGUAGGGUAACGGCCUACCAAGGCGACGAUGGUUAGCGGGUCUGAGAGGAUGAUCCGCCACACUGGAACUGAAACACGGACCAGACUCCUACGGGAGGCAGCAGUGAGGAAUAUUGCGCAAUGGGGGCAACCCUGACGCAGCGACGCCGCGUGGAUGAUGAAGGCCUUCGGGUUGUAAAAUCCUGUCAGAUGGGAAGAAGUGCUAUAUGGUUAAUAUCUGUAUAGUUUGACGGUACCAUCAAAGGAAGCACCGGCUAACUCCGUGCCAGCAGCCGCGGUAAUACGGAGGGUGCAAGCGUUGUUCGGAAUUACUGGGCGUAAAGCGCGCGUAGGCGGCUAUGUAAGUCAGAUGUGAAAGCCCGCGGCUCAACCGUGGAAGUGCAUUUGAAACUGUAUAGCUUGAGUACUGGAGGGGGUAGUGGAAUUCCCGGUGUAGAGGUGAAAUUCGUAGAUAUCGGGAGGAAUACCGGUGGCGAAGGCGACUACCUGGCCAGAUACUGACGCUGAGGUGCGAAAGCGUGGGGAGCAAACAGGAUUAGAUACCCUGGUAGUCCACGCCGUAAACGAUGUCAACUAGGUGUUGGAGUGGUUAAUCGCUUCAUUGCCGGAGUUACCGCAUUAAGUAUCCCGCCUGGGGAGUACGGUCGCAAG
Molecule: ribosomal RNA, 909 nt
Filed under: uncultured bacterium
Lineage: Bacteria
Description: bacterial SSU rRNA
Rfam family: Bacterial small subunit ribosomal RNA
Source: RNAcentral